UGACGUAGGGUCCGAGCGUUGUCCGGAAUUACUGGGCGUAAAGAGCUCGUAGGUGGUUUGCCGGCGUUGUUCGUGAAAACUCACAGCUUAACUGUGGGCGUGCGGGCGAUACGGGCAGACUUGAGUACUGCAGGGGAGACUGGAAUUCCUGGUGUAGCGGUGGAAUGCGCAGAUAUCAGGAGGAACACCCUGAGGUGAAGACGGGUUGCUGGGCUGACACUGACGCUGGAGGCGCGAAAGCUAGGGUAGCAAACGGG
RNAcentral lists this ribosomal RNA (257 nucleotides) under uncultured bacterium. Its description in RNAcentral is "partial 16S ribosomal RNA". It matches the Rfam family "Bacterial small subunit ribosomal RNA", at positions 523 to 776 of the family's 1533-position model. The record is from RNAcentral.